Molecule: long non-coding RNA, 343 nt
Organism: Oncorhynchus keta (chum salmon)
Lineage: Eukaryota; Metazoa; Chordata; Actinopteri; Salmoniformes; Salmonidae
Exons: 3
Source: RefSeq, a predicted model, not a curated record
GUGAGAGAGUCUCAGGUCUAGACUGAGGAUGAGUGGAGAUGUUGACAGUUCUACAGACUCUUAUUGAGAGGUGAGAGAGUCUCAGGUCUAGACUGAGGAUGAGUGGAGAUGUUGACAGUUCUACAGACUCUUAUUGGGAGGUGAGAGAGUCUCAGGUCUAGACUGAGGAUGAGUGGAGAUGUUGACAGUUCUACAGACUCUUAUUGAGAGGUGAGAGAGUCUCAGGUCUAGACUGAGGAUGAGUGGAGAUGUUGACAGUUCUACAGACUCUUAUUGAGAGGUGAGAGAGUCUCAGGUCUAGACUGAGGAUGAGUGGAGAUGUUGACAGUUCUACAGACUCUUA